RNAcentral lists this ribosomal RNA (460 nucleotides) under uncultured bacterium. RNAcentral's name for it is "partial 16S ribosomal RNA". It matches the Rfam family "Bacterial small subunit ribosomal RNA", at positions 338 to 795 of the family's 1533-position model. The record is from RNAcentral.
CCUACGGGCGGCAGCAGUGAGGAAUAUUGGUCAAUGGACGCAAGUCUGAACCAGCCAUGCCGCGUGCAGGAAGACGGCUCUAUGAGUUGUAAACUGCUUUUGUACGAGGGUAAACGCAGAUACGCGUAUCUUUCUGAAAGUAUCGUACGAAUAAGGAUCGGCUAACUCCGUGCCAGCAGCCGCGGUAAUACGGAGGAUUCAAGCGUUAUCCGGAUUUAUUGGGUUUAAAGGGUGCGUAGGCGGUCGGAUAAGUUAGAGGUGAAAUCCCGAGGCUCAACUUCGGAAUUGCCUCUGAUACUGGUCGGCUAGAGAGUAGUAGCGGUAGGCGGAAUGUGUGGUGUAGCGGUGAAAUGCUUAGAGAUCAUGCAGAACACCGAUUGCGAAGGCAGCUUACCAGGCUACUACUGACGUUGAGGCACGAAAGCGUGGGGAGCAAACAGGAUUAGAUACCCGAGUAGUC